This is a long non-coding RNA of Beta vulgaris subsp. vulgaris (sugar beet), 756 nucleotides long. RefSeq lists it as uncharacterized. The record is from RefSeq and is a predicted model, not a curated record. Lineage: Eukaryota; Viridiplantae; Streptophyta; Magnoliopsida; Caryophyllales; Amaranthaceae. The transcript has 2 exons.
AAAAAAAAUUCAGUAAAACACAUCAUCAACCAAAAUAAAUACUCACUGAGUCACCAAAGUCAGAAAUUCUUCGCAAAAAAAAAAAAAAAAAAAAAAGAUCUUUUUUUUUGCUUCACCUUGUCCAUUAUUCCACCAUAUUUUUUCUUCUCAUAAUUCCAGUAUCUCUCUGCCUCCUCAAUUCACUUCCAUUGUCAAAAAAUUUAUCAUUUUCACCAUUAACACGUAUCUCUUUCUCUCUCCUCUCUGUUUUUUAGCAUUUUUUUCAUCUCUCUUAUUAAAGUUCAUGUAUGUUUUGAGUUGAGUUUUAAGGAUCGUACUGAUCAUUUAUGGAGGGAAAAAAAAAGGAAGCAGAAGUGGCAAAUAGUAAUGAAGGAACCUUGCUUAUGUUGCAUCCCAUUUGCCAUUUCCCAAUAGGUGAGAAGACUUAUUCAGAUUUUAAUUAUGGAGCUAUGUGUCACAAAUGUACAGACACUCAGAUCUGUGAGGCAUUAUGAAAAGAUGGUUAGUUCAGAAACCUUCAAAAGUUUGUUUCAGCGAAUUAUAUUCAGUACUAUCAAAGUGAAGAUCAAAGAAGUCGGUAAUUAUAAGUGUUAUUGCUCUAGGUGUAGUAUUAAAGAAUUGGAAAGGGGAACAUUGGCUCAAGUACAUUUGUUAUUGCUCUCAAUUUGAUAAAUUAUGGGAUGCUUAGUUGAUUGGUUUUUUUUGCUUCUUUUAAAUACUCAUCUCGUUUUAUAAAGAUCUUCCUAUUUACAGUUA